Molecule: long non-coding RNA, 658 nt
Filed under: Homo sapiens (human)
Lineage: Eukaryota; Metazoa; Chordata; Mammalia; Primates; Hominidae
Description: HSALNT0321246
Source: RNAcentral
ACCCCGGGGACCUCGGCGGGUCUCCACCCCUGGGAGAAGAAGCAGAGCAAGCGCGAAGAUGAGAUGAAGAACAAAGCCCAUAUGAGUCAUAAGAGACAGUUUAAUCAGUCCGUGACCAAAAUCAAACAGAGUAAACUGUGUCAUCAUGGAGAUCUGCCCAGGAAAUCCCCAAAAUACAGAAGGAUCAGAAGUAGAUGGAAAUAAUGUCAUAGAACGUCUCUCACAACUGUGUUAUAAGAAUGACAGGGAAGCUACAGGUUACAACAGAUUUGUGAACUCAGCCAAGCACAGUGGUGGCAGGGCCUAGCUGCUACAAAGAAGACAUGUUUUAGACAAAUACUCAUGUGUAUGGGCAAAAAACUCGAGGACUGUAUUUGUGACUAAUUGUGUAACAGGGUAUUUUAGUUCCUGUUCUGUGGAAAGUGUAAAGCAUUCCAACAAAGGGUUUUAAUGUAGAUUUUUUUUUGCACCCAUGCUUUGAUUGCUAAAUGUAAUAGUCAGAUCGUGACGCUGAAUAAAUGUCUUUUUCUAAAAAAAAAAAAAAAGAAUGACACAUAUUUGUUCUUCAUUCUUGUUUCACAUUAGUAGUGGCAUUUCUCAUGCUCUAUUUUCCCAGCCUUGUUCUAUAUUUUGAGUUAUGUGAAUAAAAGUAUGCCAG